AGCAGCCUGUGCUGACACAGGGCUGGCUCACCUGCUCAUAGUUAAUGCCAAGUGCUCCCUCCAUUAACCUUCUCCCCAGGACUCACAGCCCCAAGCCUGAGCAACUGCAUACGGUUCUGCCCUGGCUGUAUGUGAUCUCCGGAAGUCCUAGAGUAUAUAGGAGAGGAAAGAUUGACUGACAGAGAGAUUCCAUCUAUCCAGCUAUGGAGAGGCAAUCGCUUGUGCCAGGGCCUGUCCAGAUGAACCCAAGUGAAAGAUUGCCAGCAAAAUACUUACAAACACAGGCAUUGCAAACCUUAG
Molecule: long non-coding RNA, 300 nt
Organism: Apodemus sylvaticus (European woodmouse)
Lineage: Eukaryota; Metazoa; Chordata; Mammalia; Rodentia; Muridae
Exons: 3
Source: RefSeq, a predicted model, not a curated record